AAUAUUGGACAAUGGGGGCAACCCUGAUCCAGCCAUGCCGCAUGUUUGAAGAAGGUCUUCGGAUUGUAAAGCACUUUAAGUUGGGAGGAAGGGCUUUUGGCUAAUACCCUGAAGUUUUGACGUUACCAACAGAAUAAGCACUGGCUAACUCUGUCCCAGCAGCCGCGGUAAUACAGAGGGUCCACGCGUUAAUCGGAAUUACUGGGCUUAAAGCGCGCGUAGGUGGUUCAGUAAGAUGGGUGUGAAAUUGCCGGGCUUAACCUGGGAACUGCUUUCAUAACUGCUGAGCUAGAGUACGGUAGAGGGUAGUGGAAUUUCCUGUGUAGCGGUGAAAUGCGUAGAUAUAGGAAGGAACACCAGUGGCGAAGGCGACUACCUGGACUGAUACUGACACUGAGGUGCGAAAGCGUGGGGAGCAAAC
Molecule: ribosomal RNA, 421 nt
Filed under: uncultured bacterium
Lineage: Bacteria
Description: partial 16S ribosomal RNA
Rfam family: Bacterial small subunit ribosomal RNA
Source: RNAcentral